UGCCUCAGUAACGGCGAGUGAAGCGGCAACAGCUCAAAUUUGAAAUCUGGCCCCAGGCCCGAGUUGUAAUUUGCAGAGGAUGCUUUUGGUGCGGUGCCUUCCAAGUUCCCUAGAACGGGACGCCAGAGAGGGUGAGAGCCCCGUACAGUUGGACACCAAGCCUUUGUAAAGCUCCUUCGACGAGUCGAGUAGUUUGGGAAUGCUGCUCAAAAUGGGAGGUAUAUUUCUUCUAAAGCUAAAUACCGGCCAGAGACCGAUAGCGCACAAGUAGAGUGAUCGAAAGAUGAAAAGCACUUUGAAAAGAGGGUUAAACAGCACGUGAAAUUGUUAAAAGGGAAGCGCUUGUGACCAGACUUGCGUCCGGUGAAUCACCCAGCUCUCGCGGCUGGGGCACUUCGCCGGCUCAGGCCAGCAUCAGCUCGCUGUCGGGGACAAAAGCUUCAGGAACGUAGCUCUCUUCGGGGAGUGUUAUAGCCUGUUGCACAAUACCCUUCGGCGGGCUGAGGUACGCGCUCCGCAAGGAUGCUGGCAUAAUGGUCAUCAGCGACCCGUCUUGAAACACGGACCAAGGAGUCAACCUUAUGUGCGAGUGUUCGGGUGUCAAACCCCUACGCGUAAUGAAAGUGAACGCAGGUGAGAGCUUCGGCGCAUCAUCGACCGAUCCUGAUGUUCUCGGAUGGAUUUGAGUAAGAGCAUAUAGGGUUGGACCCGAAAGAAGGUGAACUAUGCGUGUAUAGGGUGAAGCCAGAGGAAACUCUGGUGGAGGCUCGCAGCGGUUCUGACGUGCAAAUCGAUCGUCAAAUAUGCGCA
Molecule: ribosomal RNA, 810 nt
Filed under: Colletotrichum gloeosporioides
Lineage: Eukaryota; Fungi; Ascomycota; Sordariomycetes; Glomerellales; Glomerellaceae
Description: eukaryotic LSU rRNA
Rfam family: Eukaryotic large subunit ribosomal RNA
Source: RNAcentral